AAUCUUGCGCAAUGGGCGAAAGCCUGACGCAGCCAUGCCGCGUGAAUGAUGAAGGCCCNCGGGUUNUNAAGCACUUUUGCCAGGGNCGAAAAGGCGCCGGAUAAUACCUGGCGCCGCUGACGUUACCUGCAGAAUAAUCACCGGCUAACUACGUUCCAGCAGCCGCGGUAAUACGUACGGUGCAAGCGUUAAUCGGACUUACUGGGCGUAAAGAGUGCGCAGGCGGUUCGGAAAGAAAGAUGUGAAAUCACAGGGCUUAAAAUUGGAACUGCAUUUUUAACUGCCGGGCUAGAGUAUGUCAGAGGGGGGGAGAAUUCAACGUGUAGCAGUGAAAUGCGUAGAGAUGUGGAGGAAAACCGAUGGCGAAGGCAGCCCCCUGGGAUAAUACUGACGCUCAUACACGAAAGCGUGGGGAGCAAAC
RNAcentral lists this ribosomal RNA (421 nucleotides) under uncultured bacterium. Its description in RNAcentral is "partial 16S ribosomal RNA". It matches the Rfam family "Bacterial small subunit ribosomal RNA", at positions 360 to 773 of the family's 1533-position model. The record is from RNAcentral.